CCCGGCCGGGCUUGGCCCCCGAGCUCUUCCCUGCUGGCCUGCGGGGACCCGGGGCUUGCCGGGUGCCCUGCCCGCUGCCAGCCGCUGCGCUCCUCGGCCCACACUGCCCCCGGAUCUCCUGAGGGCCUCGAGCCGCGCUCUGAGGGAGCGCAGCUCCCCCCGCGCCGGUGGUUGCGCUCCCCGAGUUUCCCGGUGCUUUGGGCACCGCGGUGGGCUGCCAGGUGGGCAGCUCUUCGAUUGCCUGCAGCCAUCGCUCUGCACCUUGCUGUAAAGGUGAAGGCGGCCUCGUGUGUCUGGAAGUUGCCUGUUCUGUUUGAGAUGUCGGGUAGUCUGUUAGCUGUCAUCCCUGCCCAUAAGGUUUGCUUUGAAAACAUUCUCUGCAGAACACGUGUGUGAACUCUUCUCGUUCCAGGGUGUCAUCUCCUGUGCUGUAUUUUUCAUUGCCACGUGUUGCCUUGCUGCUCCCUGGUGAUUUCACACAUCCCUGCGUUACAAAUUCCUGAUUAACAGCCGAGUAUGGCGAGGUCAGAUGAGCAGGUUGAAGACAUCAUGGGACGGUGUUGGCCUGUGAAAUGGAUUUUCAUUGCCAUCAAAAGUCUUCUGUGGCUGUGGCACCUUUCAGCUGCUGAUGGAGAGGCAUGCUUUCUGGCUGUCCUGGUGCUUAGAUUUAAUGCUGAUGUUUGUUUUAAUUCUGGAAGUGCAGUGAUUAAUUAUGUGUCAAUGCUGCUGUAAAUGUGAUGAUAACCAGACAGGUUUAACGUAGUCAAAAUUAAUCAAAGUGGUAGUCUAAAGUAAGAAGUUGUUGUGGUCCAAAAUCAGAUUUUCAGGGCAAUGCACGUGUCUUCCCCCAGAUGCUGCUAUUUUAGUGCAGCUUCCAUUGCGUUAGGAGGAAGCACUGUCUGGCUUUGGAAGCUUGCAUUCUUCUGCAGGUAACUUGAAGUUGGAAGUUUUGGCCUUAACCUUCCAGCGGCAGGAAAAUACGGCGGUGCGGUGGCUGCUGAGAGUGCCCUGGGCCAUUGACAGGAUUGUGGAGCUGCAGGCUGGCAGCAGCUCCCACGAGGUGGCAUUGCAAUGCUGAAAUUCUGGGACCUCGCUCCAGCCUACAGAGAGCACUGGGUGCUUUUGGCUUGCUUGCGCUAUCUUGUUACGGGGCUGCACGACUCCAUUGUUGCUCUGACAGCAGAAAUGCUGUUACAGCUUGAUGUCAGGCCAGCAGCCGCGCGUUCGGGUGCUUAACAACGUGUCUGGGGAGAGUUAGCCUUCAGCCACCCUGGUAAAAGUCACUUUCCUCCUGUGCCUGGCUUAACGGAUGUCUCCUCCUGAUCGAUGCUUCCGUGCUGUGACCCUUUCCUGCAUAGCUUUGCUAUCUGCUUUUCAUGCCAAACCUGCCGCUGUGCCUGUGUGUGACUGCGCUGCUGCUCUUCCGGCUGUGAGAAGGAAUAAGCCCGUGGCAUCCUCCGGCAGAAGUUUGUCUUUCGAAUCACCUUUAAAAUUGCCUUUCAAAGGCAGCUUUUGCAGAAGCUUUACCAGGGGUGCGCCUGCCGUGGUUUGGAAGCAGCGUGCCCCCAGACAACGCGGAGCAUCCUUGCUUCCUGCUCCCUGGCACAGCUGUGCCCGCGUCCCUGCGGCUGGCCCCGCAGGGCUCCGCACUGGACCGCUCCGUCUCCCCAGCUUCCUACGCCAGCACGUCGUUACCAGAGAAAAUGCAAGCAGGGUGAAUGAUAAGCAUGACUGGGAGAUGUCUCCGUUGGCAGUUUGAGGCCUGUCUGCUGACGUUAAAAAAGGCUUAGCUCUUCCUUUGAAGAAAUUUGGUGCUGGAGGAGCUGGGGUCUUUUAUUUACAACCAGCCCUGCGGCAGCUCAAACUGCUCCAGGCUUCCCCGUGCCUGGCUCCACAUAUCUCUGGCCAUCCAGGAGCAGCAUGUGCUGCUCCUGGCCUGGGGAACGGGCAGGUGCAGUUGUCUGGCUCCUGACCCCGUGGAGAGGCUGGCCCUUCCUUGCAGGGUGUUGUGAUGCUGUGUUGAGUUGCUUUUGCAGGUAUCUCGCCUGAGAUGCUCUCUGGCAGCUGCGCUGGCACCCCAGGACACUGAGCACUGGAGGAAACAGGUUUGGGAGAAGAAGGAAAUUGCCCUUCUGAGUUGAGUCAUGGCCCAGGAAGGGAGAUGACGCAAGGAGUAAAGCUAAUAAACCAUAAAAUGAAGGAUGAGGAAUUUCCUCUAAGGCUGCGUGCAGUGCCAGGGCUUGUGAGAAAUCCCUGGACAUCGUGUGGAGACCUAGCAAGACCUAGCUUGGGGUCUAACUUGGUCUCUUGGCUGUGGUGUUAGGGUUUUACCUCCUGGCGUUUGCAGGUUUGCACUUCCCCAUGGUCUGAACGCAGUACCUUGCAGAAAAGGUCAAACUUUGGCCUCACCCAGUUCCACUGAAGAGCCCUGGGUCGCUGUGUCAUGCAGAACAGGAAUUUGCCCUGGGGAUUUUGCAGCUUCCCUGUCGAGGGCAGCCAGGCCCCCAGACUGUGAACUCCUUCCUUUCCGAAGGUGAGGCGAAGCCCCCUUACAGCAAACUGCCUGGGCCGAGCACCAGACAGCUGCAGGUGGCCGGUACAUGUCUGCACCCAGGUUGGAACGGGGCGCGCCGAUGGCGCGGAGCAGCUCGUGGGAGGAGCUGUCUGUGUCUCAGUGAGCUGCCUCCGGGCCUCCCGCUUUGUCAGAGCACAUUUCUCAGUGUCGCCUUUGUGGUUGAGAGACUCCGGGAGGCUCCGCAUUCAGCUGGGGCUUCCUGAUAGCCGAAAGCGGAUAUUUUCAUCGCCUUUUUCCCCCCUUGUCGUUUAAGCCACUCGGAUGCUGUUUCAUCCAGGGACUAAAGCUAACGCCAGCUCCGCGUGAUGAAAGCUUGUUUUGUCUUGGUAGUAAAAGAGCCUGCAAGGCUGGGCAAGUC
Cygnus olor (mute swan) is the source of this 2933-nucleotide long non-coding RNA. RefSeq lists it as uncharacterized. The record is from RefSeq and is a predicted model, not a curated record. Lineage: Eukaryota; Metazoa; Chordata; Aves; Anseriformes; Anatidae. The transcript is spliced from 2 exons.